This 1426-nucleotide unclassified non-coding RNA is filed under the name Hevea brasiliensis (rubber tree). The record is from RNAcentral. Lineage: Eukaryota; Viridiplantae; Streptophyta; Magnoliopsida; Malpighiales; Euphorbiaceae.
AUUCAAUAAUAAAGAAGCACGGAAACUGAUUAAUACAUUUUCAUUUUGCUAGACAUGUAUCUGUGGAUACACAUCUUUUUUAUUUUGAAUCUCUGUUAGAGACAUGAUUUUUUUUCUUUUCUAUAGUUUGUGUGUGCGCAUGUGCAUAUGUGCUUGCCUAGCUUGCAUUGUCACUCACAUAGCUCCAUUUUCAUCUACUAAUUAGUACUAGGAACUGUUGGACAUAAAUUUUCAUCUCAUUUUUAUUGAUAGAGAGCACUGACAAGAAUUAGAACAGGGAAAUUUCAUGAAUCACGGAAGUAGCUAUCACAAAAGAAGCGGAAACGGUUUCCCGUUGACAUUACUGUGUCACUUCUUUUUGGUAGGGUAAGAAGCCAUUUUGUUGAUGCCGCAGAGCCCUUCUGGUUUUCCUGUGUUUCUCUUCAUUCUUAUGUAGCCCUUUUCACCCCAUUUUGGUCCCCAGGAGUUCUUCACAAUGAUGUAAUCUAGCCCUUUUGAUGAUCCGUAUCCAACUGCUGCUACUCCAUGAUCUAGAUCUGUUCCACACGGUCCACUGAACACCCCCCCGCUAUAGAAUUGGAAAUCUCUCCCAGAAGCCUCAAUAGCUACGCUAAGAGGUUGGUGAGCUAGUGCCUUCAGGAGACUUUCUUCAUCAUUCUGUGGCACAUCAUGGUAACCACUGAUAGUCACUGCCUCCAUCUCUUCCCUCUUUUCUUCACAAGUGCCUUCUUCCAUGAGAUAUGGAUAGUCUUCCUCCUUGUGAAGUCCUCCAUUGUUUACUAUGUAUUCAAAUGCAUAGUCCAUGAGGCCUCCAUUGCAGCCACUAUUGAAUGCAGUGUCACAAUCAAUCAACUCUUGCUCGGAAAGUGAAGUUAGGUUUCCUGUUACAAUCUGGUUUAUGCCCUCCACAGCAGCAACUGUCGAGAAUGCCCAACAGCUACCACAUGAACCCUGGUUCUUAACUGGAGUGACAGCUCCUUUCUUUCUCCAAUCGACAGAUUUGGGUAAGUCGACGACAUCUCUGUAACUGAAGCCUCCGGAAGUUCCUUUCCUUGGUAAGUCUGUGUUCAAUCCCAAGUAUUUGCUCUUGAACUCUUCAUGGGUAAGGUCAGCAAAUUCAUUCAGUCCAAGCCAGUAGGUAGUAACAUCCCUGUUUCUAUUAUCAAUGUGCUUCAAAUUAUCUUUGAAAACCUCAAACCGGUGUAGCUUCUGUUCAAUGCUUCUGUAGAUCUUGACAUGUUUAGACAUCCAUGAUUCAAAUAGCUCACUGAGUUUCUCCAUGGAAGUCAGGUGCUCUGGCGAGUAACCAACGAUGGAAAAAUCAUGAGCUACAACUGAACAGAUGAAGAGAGAUGCUAAAAAGGUAAGAAUGGAAAUGUUUGAAAAUGAGAGAGCCAUUUAGGCUGAGAAAAUUGAUAUUGAGAAG